RNAcentral lists this unclassified non-coding RNA (254 nucleotides) under Hevea brasiliensis (rubber tree). Lineage: Eukaryota; Viridiplantae; Streptophyta; Magnoliopsida; Malpighiales; Euphorbiaceae. The record is from RNAcentral.
GACGCGACGCCAAGGCGUCGAGGCUGAGGCCAAUCUCAAGUCCGGCCCCUUCGAGCUUUAUGCCAGCUAUGCCUUUGUCGAUGCGCGAUUCCGCGACGCUUUGACGCUUGGCUCCAACAGCCCCUUCGCUGAUGCCGACGGUAAUGUCCAGGUGUUGCCGGGCGAUCGGAUACCUGCAGUGCCCCAGCACCGCUUCAAGGCGCGCGUGGAUUUUUCGGUGACCGAUGCGUUCAAGGUCGGUGCCGAUAUGCUGU